GUGAGCCUUGGCUCCAGUACCUGAGACUAUUCAUGAUUUCGAAUACUAAGGCAGCAGCCAAGAGAAUCUGGGAAGAAGGCCACCUCACCUUCUCAUUGACCACGGGCUCUCGAGUGCUCAGGACUUAGCCUGAACUCCAGGGCCAUCCAAACACAGGUUUGAAUGAAACCAGUGCAGGUGACUAGGAGACAAAGGCGCCUCGCCGCCGCCAAGCUUUUGUGCUUAGGCUCAGAACGGCUUGUUAGUAUCCUGCCUGACAACUUUGUGAGCUUUUUCUAUCCACUGGGAAGGCCUUUUGUGGCGUCCUAUACCUUCCUUUCUGACUUUCUUUUUGCACCUCCACAUUUGGCAAACACGAAAGGAAUGGCUAAAUCAGAACUCAUAUACCCGGAACCUAGGGAGACAGGAUCAGGGGAGUGGAAGGUGGGAGGAGGAGGGAGUAAGACUGAAAAAAUCCGCUAGUACCUCUACUGCUACGCAUGCUUCUCUUUCAUCUCUGCCUUCUCCUCUGGGUCCCACCUUACCGUAUGCCAUGCCACAGUAACAUCCCACUACCUUGAGAGAAGUUCCUGUGAGUGGUAAUGGCCUUGUCUGUGAGUGGCAGCUAAUGAAUGACGUGUGGGAGCAUAUGAAAUAGCUACAGUCCCUGUAAAACAUCCCCACAAUGCUCCGGGAGAGUACCUGCAUCUCCGAAGCAUCCUGGGCAGCAUUUUUUAAAAGGUUGCUGGAGAGAUGGCUCAGUAGUUAAAAACGUGUACUGCUCUUGCAGAGGACCUGAAAGGGUUUGUGUCAGGUAGCUCACAGUACCUCUGGCUCCUGAGGAUCUGAUCUCCUCUUCUGGACUCCAUGGCCACCUGCAAACACACACACACACACACACACACACACACACACACACACACACACACACACACUUAAAAACGGCACACACCUAUACUUUUAAAAUAAUAAGAUAAAUCGUUAAAAUAAAUAAGCAAAUUAAAGGCCAAUGGAACCAGGGUGUCUCCAUUGAAGUAGUGUUCCCAACUGCUAGAGUAUACUAUGUCAUCUUAGGCAACCAAAAAGGAAAAGUACCACAAAGUAAGGGACACCAAGGAAGGAACACUGUCUCAAGAAGCUAUUCCCAAUGCUCGUCUGUGUCUGGGAAAGGUGGUGAUGCUGAAAACUCUAACAAGACCUCAGGAUGCCGUUCUGCCUGUAGGCCUGAGUGACCUAGAAGGCCCUCUUAGGCAGCUCUGCAUUGUGCUGACCAGACCAGCAUGAUAGGGCACUCUGGGGGCUGCAGGCUGAGCUAGGUGGACCAGCAAGCAUGACGCUGUGAGCUACUUCUCUGUCCUGGGAGCCUGGAAGACAUUCACUAUCACCCGCUGAAAAGCUGUCCCUCUGUCCAGCAGCCCUGGAGAUGGCUGGCUAAGAAGGUAUAUGGGGAGAAAAGGGCCAAUAUAUCGUCUCCCACUAGAAACAGAAACAAAGACAACACUAAGUAAUGGUCACUAGAGCUAGCCCACCAGGUAAUGCCUGUGUGCCAGUAGUAUUAACAACUGUCUGCACUGUGGCAUAAAGUGUUAAUGUUUGGUCUGUUGCAAUGGAUUGUAAUGCUAAAUUCUGUACCUGAAGAUCUAGGCCUACAAGUGAAUUCUCACAUUUACACACUUUUGUUGUGCAAACCUUGUUCCUUGAUUUAAAAUGAUUGGUUAGCCUGGCAGUAGUGACCCAUGCCUUUAAUCCCAGCACUUGGGAGGCAGAGACAGGUCAGCCUGGUCUACAGAGUAAGUUCCAGGACAGCCAGAGCUACACAGAGAAACCCUGUCUCAACAAAC
This 1820-nucleotide long non-coding RNA is filed under the name Mus musculus (house mouse). Its description in RNAcentral is "long non-coding RNA chr2:125724791-125726611". The record is from RNAcentral. Lineage: Eukaryota; Metazoa; Chordata; Mammalia; Rodentia; Muridae.